Molecule: ribosomal RNA, 483 nt
Filed under: uncultured bacterium
Lineage: Bacteria
Description: bacterial SSU rRNA
Rfam family: Bacterial small subunit ribosomal RNA
Source: RNAcentral
AUUGAACGCUGGCGGCAUGCUUUACACAUGCAAGUCGAACGGUAACAGGUCUUCGGAUGCUGACGAGUGGCGAACGGGUGAGUAAUGUAUCGGAACGUGCCCAGUAGUGGGGGAUAACUACUCGAAAGAGUGGCUAAUACCGCAUGAGAACUGAGGUUGAAAGCGGGGGGACCUUCGGGCCUCGCGCUACUGGAGCGGCCGAUAUCAGAUUAGGUAGUUGGUGGGGUAAAGGCCUACCAAGCCGACGAUCUGUAGCUGGUCUGAGAGGACGACCAGCCACACUGGGACUGAGACACGGCCCAGACUCCUACGGGAGGCAGCAGUGGGGAAUUUUGGACAAUGGGCGCAAGCCUGAUCCAGCAAUGCCGCGUGCAGGAAGAAGGGCCUUCGGGUUGUAAACUGCUUUGUACGGAACGAAAAGGGCUCUGGUUAAUACCCUGGGCUCAUGACGGUACCGUAAGAUAAGCACCGGCUAACUACGUG